RNAcentral lists this ribosomal RNA (427 nucleotides) under uncultured bacterium. RNAcentral's name for it is "partial 16S ribosomal RNA". It matches the Rfam family "Bacterial small subunit ribosomal RNA", at positions 355 to 774 of the family's 1533-position model. The record is from RNAcentral.
UGGGGAAUAUUGCACAAUGGGCGCAAGCCUGAUGCAGCCAUGCCGCGUGUAUGAAGAAGGCCUUCGGGUUGUAAAGUACUUUCAGCGGGGAGGAAGGCGAUAAGGUUAAUAACCUUGUCGAUUGACGUUACCCGCAGAAGAAGCACCGGCUAACUCCGUGCCAGCAGCCGCGGUAAUACGGAGGGUGCAAGCGUUAAUCGAAAUUACUGGGCGUAAAGCGCACGCAGGCGGUCUGUCAAGUCGGAUGUGAAAUCCCCGGGCUCAACCUGGGAACUGCAUUCGAAACUGGCAGGCUAGAGUCUUGUAGAGGGGGGUAGAAUUCCAGGUGUAGCGGUGAAAUGCGUAGAGAUCUGGAGGAAUACCGGUGGCGAAGGCGGCCCCCUGGACAAAGACUGACGCUCAGGUGCGAAAGCGUGGGGAGCAAACA